Molecule: long non-coding RNA, 2094 nt
Filed under: Homo sapiens (human)
Lineage: Eukaryota; Metazoa; Chordata; Mammalia; Primates; Hominidae
Description: HSALNT0313806
Source: RNAcentral
ACAUAGGAAGAAGAGAUGUAACAUCAACAGAAAGGCAAAAGCCUCAGGUAACUUUUGUAAGCAACACAAAUGGAAAAGAAAUGAGUCAAAAAUCCAGUCAUUCAGAGGAAUUAAUGCAAUUGGCCAUAUGUCAUGAAGACAUCAUCAGUAAAUGGCAAUCCUGAUGCGUACAGGAGUCAACAUAGGUUCAGGGGCAAUGCAGCAUCUCUGCCUUCUUCUGGGUAUUCCUCUUAAAUGGCUUGACAAUAACCACCAACCAGCACUGCCAUACAUGUGUCCUGUACCUAUCAGAGGCACUAGGGCAGUUUUGGAACAGAGAGCCCAUAGAAAGGCUACUGCUUAGAGAUAGCCAUUUUCUUCUUGGAGCUGGACCAGUGAAUUAGACGCAUGGAGGAGAGCUGGAAAAUCCCUUUUUGGAAGAGCUACACAAAACCAAAAUUUGGAAUUCGUAGCUAAUAACCAUAAAAAUUAAGAAAUGACUGUUGGAAGAGCACUGGAAAUCACCUGAUUAAGUUAAGAAAAACUAACUAGCUCAUGAGAAAAUUAUUUUCAGGCCAGCUGUAGCCUGUACCCUUUUGAAAAUCCCCUGACUAGUGAGUUCAUUUUUGUUGGAAUAUAGAAUUUUUCUUUUCUAAGCAGAUGUAAACUUGUCUUUCUGUGGUUGGCUUUGGAGCCCACAAGAUAAUUAAAUGGCAGUGCUAACUGAAAGCCUGGGCUGUGCUUAUAGGUUCAAGAGGCAGGUAGAAGACACUGGGUUGGGGAAGUAGGGCUAUGGAACUGUGGCUCUGGCUAAGAUUACUAAUGUCUGUGAGCGCUGGAAGAAGGGAAAUAGAAAUGAAAAAACAUGAAUAUGGUUGAUGGGCCAGACUGAGUGUUGAGGUCCUAUGAUGUAUCAAAGAAUGGCUUACAUGAAAGUUAUAAGGUGUGGAUGGAAAAGGUCAGUGUGGAAGAGAACAGAAUUACUAGCUUUAAAGCUCAGAGACAUCUGCUUUUCAGGAAAAAAAAAUACAAAAGUCUAUGAGUGAAGGAAGGAGACUAAGAGAAAGAAAGGUGAGGAAAAGAGGAAGAGAAUAAAAAGGAACAGAAAUGAGAAAAAUAUGACACAAGAAAAAAAGAAAAAUUAGGAGGAAGGAAAGAAGAAAGGAAGGCAGAGAGGGAGGAAAGGAAGGAAGGAGACAGGGAGGAGAAACAGAAAAAGAGAGAAUGAAAGAAGUGGAAAUCAAGAAAGAAACAACAUAAGAUUCUACAGAGAGGACUCAUUAUAGGCAAAAUAAGUAAAAGAAAUUUCUUUUGGCAUUGUCCUAUCUCCCUUGCAUUCUCAUCUACUAAGCCUUUUCUUCCCUGUGGGCAAUAUUAUUGGCAUGAGUAAACUCUCACCUUAAUAUUCCUAAUAACCAUAAGUUUGUCCUCUACUCCCUAAAACUACUGCCGUGUGUGCCAUGCUCCAAAGUAAUCUCUUAUUCUCACUUCGUAACCUUUCAUCUCAGCUGUGUGUCAGUUAAGAAGAAUUUCAUCAAACUAAGCCUCUUGGAUUUUAAAAGAAUGCUCUUGCCCAGUUAUAUCUUUAGUUGGCAUCAUUUCAGGUAUGAAAAGGCUCUGCUCUAUGUGCCCUUAUCAAUCCUGAAAGAGCUAUCUCCCCAAGCAAAAUGAGAAGGACAAUCAUAACUGGCUCAAGGCUAGUCCAAUCUGGCUCUGUCCUUAGAUCCAAAAAGUUGAAGUUGUAAGUGACCCUAGAAAUGAUCUAUUUCACACUUAUUGUCCAGACAAUGAAACUCCAGUGGAGAGUGGAUAGGACCCUUCUAGGGUCGCAUGAUUGCUAGUGGCAAAGCCAGGUCUGAAUCAUAUCACUGCUUAUGGAGAACUUGUUGCCCUCACCAUUGUCCUCAAAUUUCUCCUGUUGACAGCAGGAUCCCUCAGAGAAAAGAUAGCUCCAGCCAAAGAACUCAGUGUAGCCCCAUGAACUCUCCAAAUAAUCAUAAACACAGCUAUAGUAGACAAGAAAGGCUAUCUUCUCAUGACCCUUUCUGUGGUUAAAAUCCUGAAAAACUGGGCACUACGGCUAUAUUCCAAACAUUCUUGCAAAUAGUAUUUCCA